AUACGGAGGGCGCGAACGUUGCUCGGAAUCAUUGGGCGUAAAGCGCACGUAGGCGGCCUGAUAAGUCGGAUGUGAAAGCCCUCGGCUCAACCGAGGAAGUGCAUUCGAAACUGUCAGGCUUGAGUAUGGGAGAGGGUUGCGGAAUUCCCGGUGUAGAGGUGAAAUUCGUAGAUAUCGGGAGGAACACCAGUGGCGAAGGCGGCAGCCUGGACCAAUACUGACGCUGAGGUGCGAAAGCGUGGGGAGCAAACAGGAUUAGAAACCCGAGUAGUCC
Molecule: ribosomal RNA, 274 nt
Filed under: uncultured bacterium
Lineage: Bacteria
Description: partial 16S ribosomal RNA
Rfam family: Bacterial small subunit ribosomal RNA
Source: RNAcentral